Molecule: RNA transcript, 1603 nt
Organism: Vicia villosa (hairy vetch)
Lineage: Eukaryota; Viridiplantae; Streptophyta; Magnoliopsida; Fabales; Fabaceae
Gene name: eukaryotic translation initiation factor 3 subunit C-like
Exons: 7
Source: RefSeq, a predicted model, not a curated record
AUUGAAAGGGUGUUUGAUUCCCAAUUGAUAGCCUUUCAAUUAAUAUAUGCCAUAUGCGGCUCAACAUUCCACUUCCGCCGCGCUUCUUUUUCACGAUUCAGGUUAGGUUCUUCAUUUCUAUCUCUUUUCUAUUAAAAAAUUAUUUUUUUUUCAAUGUUUGAAUCCUUUCUUCCAAAACCUUUACUUUCUCAUCUCUGACCCAUCUCUCUACUUUUCUCUCAGUCAUAACAAUAAGGAAUGGUAAAACGCUUCAAUUUCUGAGAGAAUGAAAUUAAGGUCUGAAUUUCUCUCCUGAGAUGGAGAAGACGACAACAAAAACAUUUUCAGAAUUUUUCUUCUUCAUCAUCUUCGAUUUUCUUAAAAUGCACAAAUUGCACGAAAAAGAACUUUUGAAAAAUCAUGGCUUCGAGAUUUUGGACUCAGGGUGUGAGUGAUUUAGAAGAGGAGGAACAAAGUGAUUAUGAUGAGGAAAUUGAAAUUGCAACAGUUGAAUCUGCUGUAACUCAAGGCAAUAAAAUCACUUAUUACCUUCAGGGUAAUGCUAUUGACAGUGAUGAUGAGGACGCUCAUAAGCGUGUUGUUAAAUCUACGAAAGAUAAGCGAUUUAAUGAGAUAGCUUAUAAGGAACGCCUGCUUAUCAAGUGGAAUGAGCUGCCAAUGAGGAUGGAAGAACUCCCAGCAUUUGGAAUACCUUUGCUCAUGCUGGGUUUGCACAUGGUGGAAAUGGUGAUGUAGUCCGCGACGCGUACCUUUAAUACAAGGUGAGAGGACAAAAAAGAGCCACUACUAUGAUCUUCGUCAACAGGAGCCCUUGGAAGCUCGAACGACGAUAGUUCAUCUUAAGUAGCUAUGAUACGUUGGUGUUUAAAGGGAAAAGCGUUUGUGACCUUCAGCUUAACACUGCAGAGGCAAAGGGAGAUCAGAAUUAGCAAAGUGAUGCAAAAGGUUGGCAUAUAUUUUUUCGAAUUCUCGAGGUCUUUGAGGACUACGGGUCAUCUGCAACAUGUUAGAACUUAGAAACCUAUAUGCCGCAUUCUGAAGUGCACUGAAUAGAUUAUACAAUUAUUAUCAAAUAUAAUGCUAAUGUUCAACAAAUUAGUGAUAUAUUAAAAAGGUUGCAAGUGCAUUGUUGUCUUAAAAGGCGUUGUAGUGAUAUCUAUCCCCGUGAAUAUUACAAAUAAGUAAAAUGGUAAAAAAAUUAUAACUUACAGGAUGUGCAAUUUACCCUUGGUGGUUGAAGCAAGAUGUCUAUCGCAUUCUGGUAUCCAGUAGACGGUCAACCAUGGCACGCUUGGGACAUUAUUCGAUUAACUGUGAUUGGGUUGCAAUUGAUAUAUCGAGCAGUUCCGCUUCUUUGAGAGGCAAGUCAGUAGGCACAACAUCAAGUAGCUCAUGGAAUAUUGCAAGUGCAUUUUCACUUAUACUUUCUGUAGUAGCAAUAUGUGUGUCUCUGUUUGUGAGUUAUAGAGUUUUGCAUCCCAAGGGUGUUCUGUUUAUGAGUUAACAGCUUGAGUUUAAGAUUGUACUAUUCAUUAACGAUGGUACUAAACAGGUUUGUAGUACUAAAAUGUUUGGUGAUUUCACUUGGUUUAUUUUUAAAUUC